AGUGAACGCUGGCGGUAGGCCUAACACAUGCAAGUCGAACGGCAGCACAGUAAGAGCUUGCUCUUACGGGUGGCGAGUGGCGGACGGGUGAGGAAUACAUCGGAAUCUACUUUUUCGUGGGGGAUAACGUAGGGAAACUUACGCUAAUACCGCAUACGACCUACGGGUGAAAGCAGGGGAUCUUCGGACCUUGCGCGAUUGAAUGAGCCGAUGUCGGAUUAGCUAGUUGGCGGGGUAAAGGCCCACCAAGGCGACGAUGCGUAGCUGGUCUGAGAGGAUGAUCGGCCACACUGGAACUGAGACACGGUCCAGACUCCUACGGGAGGCAGCAGUGGGGAAUAUUGGACAAUGGGCGCAAGCCUGACCCAGCAAUGCCGCGUGAGUGAAGAAGGCCUUCGGGUUGUAAAGCCCUUUUGUUGGGAAAGAAAAGCAGCAGGUGAAUAUAUCGAUGUUCUGACGGUACCCAAUGAGUAAGCACCGGCUAACUUCGUG
RNAcentral lists this ribosomal RNA (492 nucleotides) under uncultured bacterium. Its description in RNAcentral is "partial 16S ribosomal RNA". It matches the Rfam family "Bacterial small subunit ribosomal RNA", at positions 29 to 507 of the family's 1533-position model. The record is from RNAcentral.